RNAcentral lists this ribosomal RNA (684 nucleotides) under uncultured Alphaproteobacteria bacterium. Its description in RNAcentral is "bacterial SSU rRNA". It matches the Rfam family "Bacterial small subunit ribosomal RNA", at positions 46 to 776 of the family's 1533-position model. Lineage: Bacteria; Pseudomonadati; Pseudomonadota; Alphaproteobacteria. The record is from RNAcentral.
GCCUAACACAUGCAAGUCGAACGAGACCUUCGGGUCUAGUGGCGCACGGGUGCGUAACGCGUGGGAAUCUGCCCUUAGGUUCGGAAUAACUCGCCGAAAGGCGUGCUAAUACCGGAUGAUGUCGUAAGACCAAAGAUUUAUCGCCCAGGGAUGAGCCCGCGUAAGAUUAGGUAGUUGGUGAGGUAAAGGCUCACCAAGCCGACGAUCUUUAGCUGGUCUGAGAGGAUGAUCAGCCACACUGGGACUGAGACACGGCCCAGACUCCUACGGGAGGCAGCAGUGGGGAAUAUUGGACAAUGGGCGAAAGCCUGAUCCAGCAAUGCCGCGUGAGUGAUGAAGGCCUUAGGGUUGUAAAGCUCUUUUACCCGGGAUGAUAAUGACAGUACCGGGAGAAUAAGCUCCGGCUAACUCCGUGCCAGCAGCCGCGGUAAUACGGAGGGAGCUAGCGUUGUUCGGAAUUACUGGGCGUAAAGCGCACGUAGGCGGCUUUGUAAGUCAGAGGUGAAAGCCUGGAGCUCAACUCCAGAACUGCCUUUGAGACUGCAUCGCUUGAAUCCAGGAGAGGUGAGUGGAAUUCCGAGUGUAGAGGUGAAAUUCGUAGAUAUUCGGAAGAACACCAGUGGCGAAGGCGGCUCACUGGACUGGUAUUGACGCUGAGGUGCGAAAGCGUGGGGAGCAAACAGG